GUAGGUGGCAAGCGUUGUCCGGGAAUUAUUGGGGCGUAAAGCGCGCGCAGGCGGUUCUUUAAGUCUGAUGUGAAAGCCCACGGGCUCAACCGUGGAGGGUCAUUGGAAACUGGAGAACUUGAGUACAGAAGAGGAAAGCGGAAUUCCACGUGUAGCGGUGAAAUGCGUAGAGAUGUGGAGGAACACCAGUGGCGAAGGCGGCUUUCUGGUCUGUAACUGACGCUGAGGCGCGAAAGCGUGGGGAGCAAACAGGAUUAGAUACCCUGGUAGUCCACGCCAUAAACGAUGAGUGCUAAGUGUUAGGGGGUUUCCUCCCCUUAGUGCUGCAGCUAACGCAUUAAGCACUCCGCCUGGGGAGUACGGCCGCAAAGGCUG
Molecule: ribosomal RNA, 375 nt
Filed under: uncultured organism
Description: partial 16S ribosomal RNA
Rfam family: Bacterial small subunit ribosomal RNA
Source: RNAcentral